This 444-nucleotide ribosomal RNA is filed under the name uncultured soil bacterium. Its description in RNAcentral is "bacterial SSU rRNA". It matches the Rfam family "Bacterial small subunit ribosomal RNA", at positions 26 to 465 of the family's 1533-position model. The record is from RNAcentral.
AGGAUGAACGCUGGCGGCGUGCUUAACACAUGCAAGUCGAACGAUGAAGCAGAGCUUGCUCUGUGGAUUAGUGGCGAACGGGUGAGUAACACGUGAGUAACCUGCCCUUGACUCUGGAAUAAGCGUUGGAAGCGACGUCUAAUACCGGAUACGAGCUUCCGCCGCAUGGUGAGGAGCUGGAAAGAAUUUCGGCAAGGAUGGACUCGCGGCCUAUCAGGUAGUUGGUGAGGUAAUGGCUCACCAAGCCUACGGCGGGUAGCCGGCCUGAGGACGGGUGACCGGCCACGACGUGGGACUGAGACACGGCCAGACUCUACGGGAGCAGCAGUGGGAAUUUGGACAAGUGGGCGCAAGGCCUGAUCCAGCCAUCGCCGCGUCGCGGGAAGAGGCCGUUCGGUUCGUAAACCGCGUUUGGCGAGGAACGAACGGCGCGAGCGAAGUAUC